UUGUCUUUAUUUUUCAGCUCUCCUACAAGCUUGUGUGCCCUGUAACCAGUAUGUAUGGUACAAUAUUUACAGCCUGGAGGAUUCUUGAAGUAAUGACAGACUCGUCUGCUGCAACUGACUGGUUGGCUUCAGUAGAGUCAUUGCUUCCUAUUACUGCUGUGAUCCCUGCGCCUGCCUUUCUUCUGCUGGCUCACCUCCUUGUUGAAGACAAAGGACAAAAUCUUCACCAAAUACUCAAGGUCACUACAGAAUUAGCCCAAGCAGAUUCCUCCCAGGUGUGUAUAGGACAAAUUCUACGAAUAAUACAACUACUUGGAACCACACCACGACUAAGAGCUGUCACUUUGCGCUUGCUGACAUCUUUGUGGGAAAAGCAGGACCGAGUCUAUCCUGAACUGCAGCGUUUCAUGGCUGUGUCUGAUGUAUCUUCUCUUUCGGUGGGCAAGGAAGUCCAAUGGGAGAAACUGAUUGCAAAAGCAGCAUCAAUCAGAGAUAUAUGUAAGCAGAGGCCGUAUCAACAUGGUGCAGAUAUGUUGGCAGCUAUUUCUCAAGUGUUGAAUGAAUGCACC
RNAcentral lists this small RNA (569 nucleotides) under Pan troglodytes (chimpanzee). Its description in RNAcentral is "processed transcript". The record is from RNAcentral. Lineage: Eukaryota; Metazoa; Chordata; Mammalia; Primates; Hominidae.